This 464-nucleotide ribosomal RNA is filed under the name uncultured bacterium. Its description in RNAcentral is "partial 16S ribosomal RNA". It matches the Rfam family "Bacterial small subunit ribosomal RNA", at positions 339 to 795 of the family's 1533-position model. The record is from RNAcentral.
CUACGGGGUGCUGCAGUGGGGAAUAUUGCACAAUGGGCGCAAGCCUGAUGCAGCCAUGCCGCGUGUAUGAAGAAGGCCUUCGGGUUGUAAAGUACUUUCAGCGGGGAGGAAGGGAGUAAAGUUAAUACCUUUGCUCAUUGACGUUACCCGCAGAAGAAGCACCGGCUAACUCCGUGCCAGCAGCCGCGGUAAUACGGAGGGUGCAAGCGAUAAUCGGAAUUACUGGGCGUAAAGCGCACGCAGGCGGUUUGUUAAGUCAGAUGUGAAAUCCCCGGGCUCAACCUGGGAACGGCAUCUGAUACUGGCAAGCUUGAGUCUCGUAGAGGGGGGUAGAAUUCCAGGUGUAGCGGUGAAAUGCGUAGAGAUCUGGAGGAAUACCGGUGGCGAAGGCGGCCCCCUGGACGAAGACUGACGCUCAGGUGCGAAAGCGUGGGGAGCAAACAGGAUUAGAUACCCUAGUAGUC